This 63-nucleotide ribosomal RNA is filed under the name Phyllachora graminis. Its description in RNAcentral is "partial 28S ribosomal RNA". Lineage: Eukaryota; Fungi; Ascomycota; Sordariomycetes; Phyllachorales; Phyllachoraceae. The record is from RNAcentral.
GCUCGACUUCGGAUCAUGUACGAAUACCCGCUGAAAAUUAACCCUAUCAAUAAGCGGAUGACA